UGGGGAAUUUUGGACAAUGGGCGCAAGCCUGAUCCAGCCAUGCCGCGUGUCUGAAGAAGGCCUUCGGGUUGUAAAGGACUUUUGUCAGGGAAGAAAAGGCUGUCGCUAAUACCGACAGUUGAUGACGGUACCUGAAGAAUAAGCACCGGCUAACUACGUGCCAGCAGCCGCGGUAAUACGUAGGGUGCAAGCGUUAAUCGGAAUUACUGGGCGUAAAGCGAGCGCAGACGGUUACUUAAGCAGGAUGUGAAAUCCCCGGGCUCAACCUGGGAACUGCGUUCUGAACUGGGUGACUAGAGUGCGUCAGAGGGAGGUAGAAUUCCACGUGUAGCAGUGAAAUGCGUAGAGAUGUGGAGGAAUACCGAUGGCGAAGGCAGCCUCCUGGGAUAACACUGACGUUCAUGCUCGAAAGCGUGGGUAGCAAACAGGAUUAGAUACCCUGGUAGUCCACGCCCUAAACGAUGUCAAUUAGCUGUUGGGCAACUUGAUUGCUUAGUAGCGUAGCUAACGCGUGAAAUUGACCGCCUGGGGAGUACGGUCGCAAGAUUA
Molecule: ribosomal RNA, 549 nt
Filed under: uncultured bacterium
Lineage: Bacteria
Description: bacterial SSU rRNA
Rfam family: Bacterial small subunit ribosomal RNA
Source: RNAcentral